GACGAACGCUGGCGGCGUGCUUAACACAUGCAAGUCGAACGCUGAAGCUCAGCUUUUGUUGGGUGGAUGAGUGGCGAACGGGUGAGUAACACGUGAGUAACCUGCCUCCUUCUUUGGGAUAACGCCCGGAAACGGGUGCUAAUACUGGAUAUUCACUGGUCUUCGCAUGGGGGUUGGUGGAAAGGGUUUUUCUGGUGGGGGAUGGGCUCGCGGCCUAUCAGCUUGUUGGUGGGGUGAUGGCCUACCAAGGCUUUGACGGGUAGCCGGCCUGGGAGGGUGACCGGGCACCUUGGGACUGGGCUACGGCCCAGACUCCUACGGGAGGCAGCAGUGGGGGAUAUAGCACGAUGGGCGCAAGCCUGAUGCAGCGACGCCGCGUGAGGGAUGGAGGCCUUCGGGUUGUGAACCUCUUUCGCUCAUGGUCAAGCCGCAACAAUGGUUGUGGUGAGGGUAGUGGGUAAAGAAGCGCCGGCUAACUACGUGC
Molecule: ribosomal RNA, 484 nt
Filed under: uncultured bacterium
Lineage: Bacteria
Description: partial 16S ribosomal RNA
Rfam family: Bacterial small subunit ribosomal RNA
Source: RNAcentral